RNAcentral lists this transfer RNA (86 nucleotides) under Candidatus Cloacimonadota bacterium. RNAcentral's name for it is "tRNA-Leu". It matches the Rfam family "tRNA". From Rfam's summary of the family: Transfer RNA (tRNA) molecules are approximately 80 nucleotides in length. Their secondary structure includes four short double-helical elements and three loops (D, anti-codon, and T loops). Lineage: Bacteria; Pseudomonadati; Candidatus Cloacimonadota. The record is from RNAcentral.
GCGAAAGUGGCGGAACGGCAGACGCGCUGGAUUUAGGAUCCAGUGGGAUCAUUCCUGUAGGGGUUCGAAUCCCCUCUUUCGCACCA